RNAcentral lists this ribosomal RNA (465 nucleotides) under uncultured Klebsiella sp. Its description in RNAcentral is "bacterial SSU rRNA". It matches the Rfam family "Bacterial small subunit ribosomal RNA", at positions 338 to 795 of the family's 1533-position model. The record is from RNAcentral. Lineage: Bacteria; Pseudomonadati; Pseudomonadota; Gammaproteobacteria; Enterobacterales; Enterobacteriaceae.
CCUACGGGUGGCAGCAGUGGGGAAUAUUGCACAAUGGGCGCAAGCCUGACGCAGCCAUGCCGCGUGUGUGAAGAAGGCCUUCGGGUUGUAAAGCACUUUCAGCGGGGAGGAAGGCGGUGAGGUUAAUAACCUCAUCGAUUGACGUUACCCGCAGAAGAAGCACCGGCUAACUCCGUGCCAGCAGCCGCGGUAAUACGGAGGGUGCAAGCGUUAAUCGGAAUUACUGGGCGUAAAGCGCACGCAGGCGGUCUGUCAAGUCGGAUGUGAAAUCCCCGGGCUCAACCUGGGAACUGCAUUCGAAACUGGCAGGCUAGAGUCUUGUAGAGGGGGGUAGAAUUCCAGGUGUAGCGGUGAAAUGCGUAGAGAUCUGGAGGAAGACCGGUGGUGAAGGCGGCCCCCUGGACAAAGACUGACGCUCAGGUGCGAAAGCGUGGGGAGCAAACAGGAUUAGAUACCCUAGUAGUC